CUAUUCCAGAAAUUUGCGAUUUACAAACCAAGCUUUCCAAAAGCCGUGAGGAGCGAGAAGAUUUCUGGUUCCUGUAUUCAUUGAGUCAGUUGAGUUAAUCGAUAUCAGACCUACUGAGCUAUCAGGCUAAAGCUUAAAAAAGAACUGCUGUCACUGCAAUCCAAGUAGAUUGGUGUCUCUGACUCUGAAUCAAGCAAUAUAUCUUUGAGGCAUUUGGUGGUUGAGUUCUUGGGUAUAUCUGCUACGCAACUCCUUAAUUCAGUAAUAGCUACCUGAUUUUUCUCUAUGAACUCGUCGGAUGUGAUAAUCGUCUUUUCUUCCUCGUUCUUAGCAUCAUUUUGGGCAUUAAAUGGAUGCAUCUUCUCAAACUGCAUUCAUGCUCUAUUAAUUUUGAAAGUCAUACAAACUGAAACAGUAAUCAAGAGAAUUAGGACCUUCCGCUGACUAAACUUAGAGAAAGGUGAGAAAACACAUUUUGUUAUUACCCUCAUCUUGAACAUUACUGCAGUAUGUGUAGCGAUUCUUUUUCUAUUUUCAUUUUGUGACCUUCAUACGGCCUACUCUACAUGAAAUACCCACUUCAAAUAAUGCUCAAGCACUGUGUUUGAGGGAGAAUUCUAGGUAUCAUGCUCUGACAGUUUGUAUUUCGUACUAUCCAAGAGGAUCAGUUAUAGUGUUGUACUUACAUUGGGACAGGUGCACUGCUUGUUUCCAUGUUUACAUAAAUUCGAAGAUCUUGUGCUUCUGGACUUCUUACUCCUGUUAAACAGAAAUACAUUUGGAUGAGAACGAGCUUACCGAAAUUACGAAAAGCGUUAUUCUACAAUUCAGAGGGCUAGGAGCCUAGGACAAUGUGUUGUAAAGUAAGGUAUCAUCUCCAUUUCCAGUUUUAAGUUCCUUUUAAAGCUGAGUUGAUUUCUCAAACUGUCACUCAACUAAUAGUUAUUAUCUUAUAAAGUCACUUUCUUUGUUAAAUUUGGAAUCAAGAAGAAGGGUGAUUUUCUGAGAUAAUAACUAUUAGUUGAGUGACCAUCUGAGAAAUCAACCCUUUAAAGCUUGGACUCAUAAAAUUGCUAGAGACUAAUUAAACUUGGUCAUUAUCACCCAUUCCAUUCCAGUAGGUCUUUAUUGUCUUCACCAGAUAUUAUUUACUUCCACUGAGGUUUAUCUUUCAGUAUUAAGUUCCGCCAUAAAGAAAAAAGAUUGCUAAAUGUAGUGUGCAGUUGAAAUUCAUGCCACUGGGAUACUGGUCAUGUCUCCCUCUCUGUGUUAUACAAAGCAACUUACUACUUCAAUAUAUCUACUGCUUAUCUAAGAAACUUACGUUAUCUGUUGUAAUUCAUGGUGAGUGGAAGAUAUGCUGCUGGCCUCAUCUCCAGAAGACAUAAUCUGAUAAUACAUAAGCCAAGCUUUGUAUCUCCUCGCCAUCUUUACCAUCACAGCAUAGACCUCAUUCUCGGAUGUAAAUUCUUUUGAAUGUGGUUUGUGGUCAAAGCACAAGACGGAUAAUCGUCUGCAGAGGUCUGUAGCAAUUUCAGUGUGAAGAAGCCUAGGAGAAACCACAAGAGCUUGAAGAAAAUGCAUUGCAACCUGCCACUCAUCCCCUUGGAGCUUUCUAACAACGGAUAGCCUUGAGGUUCUCUCUUCACUCCAUUUUGCUGCUUGAAGUGCUGCUUCUAUACUCUCUAUCCCCCAAUAAAGAUUCGACAAUAUUGACUGCUCCGAGAACUCGAGAUACCCUCUAUUACUACAAACAUCAAACUUGGAACUGCAUUUCAGUUUCAAGCAUUUCCAAGAUUUUGUAUCUGCAAGCAAUGCAGUUAUGUGCUGAUUGAUAACAGCGACGACUGCACGUACCGACUCAAGGUCUAGUUUAUCAUCUUCAUAUGAAAAUACAGGAGGAGGGGUAGUAGCAGAAGAAGAAGAUACAGAAGCCAUUGAAUUAGUAUGUGACAUUUUGGCCUCAUGAAGAAGUACAAGAACAAGGAGCAAAUUAAAAUAACUGUUACAGAUGAGUAAUAGAGUGGCUUUUUAUGUAUUCUUUGCUCAUGAUUGUUGCCAACUUCUGAUUCUUGAGGGACCCUCUUUUUCUUCUGAAAAAAUAUGCUACAGACAAAGAUAUGGCCAUUAAAGGAGGGAAAGUCUUACAGAAAUAAAGGACAGAUGUUUGAGGUUGUUAUUGUCUUUACAGAGUAAUAAUGAACUAGGCAAUAAUGUCCAUUGUUUGCCGGGAGCCCUUUUUGCUUAGUUUGAGACUUGUAUAGCAAUGUAAUUAAGGUUAAAUCUGUAAGAGAACAAUGAAAUGUACAACUACAUGAAUUGAAUGGAACAGAUACAGAUAACUCAUAAAUCA
Molecule: long non-coding RNA, 2353 nt
Organism: Lycium ferocissimum
Lineage: Eukaryota; Viridiplantae; Streptophyta; Magnoliopsida; Solanales; Solanaceae
Exons: 3
Source: RefSeq, a predicted model, not a curated record